RNAcentral lists this ribosomal RNA (391 nucleotides) under Sarocladium strictum. RNAcentral's name for it is "partial small subunit ribosomal RNA". It matches the Rfam family "Eukaryotic small subunit ribosomal RNA", at positions 30 to 432 of the family's 1831-position model. Lineage: Eukaryota; Fungi; Ascomycota; Sordariomycetes; Hypocreales; Sarocladiaceae. The record is from RNAcentral.
GCUUGUCUCAAAGAUUAAGCCAUGCAUGUUCAAGUAUAGCAAGUGUACAGUGAAACUGCGAAUGGCUCAUUAAAUCAGUUAUAAUUUAUUUGAUAGUGAAAUUGUACAUGGAUAACCGUGGCAAUUCUAGGGCUAAUACAUGCGUCAAUGGUCGGUCGACCAGUAUUUAUUAGAUACAAAACCAAUGCCCUUCGGGGCUCCUUGGUGAUUCAUGAUAACUAUACGAAUCGCACGGCCUUGCGCCGGCGAUGGUUCAUUCAAAUUUCUUCCCUAUCAACUUUCGAUGUUUGGGUAUUGGCCAAACAUGGUUGCAACGGGUAACGGAGGGUUAGGGCUCGACCCCGGAGAAGGAGCCUGAGAAACGGCUACUACAUCCAAGGAAGGCAGCAGG